AAGUUGUUGUGGUUAAAAAGCUCGUAGUUGGAUCUCAGCUUACUCGCCAUGGUCCACUUGACGGUGGCUACUGUGGCGAUGAGCAAUUUAUCGCAUUGUCCUACGGUGUUCUUAACUGAGCGUCGUAGGCGAUCGAUACGUUUACUUUGAAAAAAUUAGAGUGCUCAAAGCAGGCAUCAUCGCCUGAAUACUGUUGCAUGGAAUAAUGGAAUAGGACCUUGGUUCUGUUCUGUUGGUCUUCGGAAUCGAGGUAAUGAUUAAGAGGGACGGACGGGGACAUUAGUACUGCGGCGAUAGAGGUGAAAUUCUUGGACCGCCGCAUGACUAACCAAAGCGAAAGCAUUUGUCAAGAACGUUUUCAUUAAUCAAGAACGAAAGUUAGAGGUUCGAAGGCGAUCAGAUACCGCCCUAGUUCUAACCAUAAACGAUGCCAACCAGCAAUCAGCCAGAGUUUAUUGUAUGACUCGGCUGGCGGCUUCCGGGAAACCAAAGUUUUUCGGUUCCAGGGGAAGUAUGGUUGCAAAGCUGAAACUUAAAGGAAUUGACGGAAGGGCACCACCAGGAGUGGAGCCUGCGGCUUAAUUUGACUCAACACGGGGAAACUCACCCGGUCCGGACACUGGAAGGAUUGACAGAUUAAGAGCUCUUUCUUGAUUCAGUGGGUGGUGGUGCAUGGCCGUUCUUAGUUGGUGGAGCGAUUUGUCUGGUUAAUUCCGAUAACGAACGAGACUCUAGCCUACUAAAUAGUGUUGGGCACCGUCGGUUGUCCGAACGCUUCUUAGAGGGACAAACGGCAUUUCAGCCGUAUGAAAAAGAGAAUAACUUGUCUGUGAUGUCCUUAGAUGUCCGGGGCCGCACGCGCUCUCCCCUGAAGAAAUCAACAUGAAUUUGCCAUCUACUCCCAAGGAACGAGAA
RNAcentral lists this ribosomal RNA (915 nucleotides) under Psoroptes ovis (sheep scab mite). RNAcentral describes it as "SSU rRNA". It matches the Rfam family "Eukaryotic small subunit ribosomal RNA", at positions 607 to 1548 of the family's 1831-position model. The record is from RNAcentral. Lineage: Eukaryota; Metazoa; Arthropoda; Arachnida; Sarcoptiformes; Psoroptidae.